AUUGAACGCUGGCGGCAUGCCUUACACAUGCAAGUCGAACGGCAGCACGGGAGCAAUCCUGGUGGCGAGUGGCGAACGGGUGAGUAAUAUAUCGGAACGUGCCCAGUCGUGGGGAUAACGUAGCGAAAGCUACGCUAAUACCGCAUACGAUCUAUGGAUGAAAGCGGGGGAUCGCAAGACCUCGCGCGAUUGGAGCGGCCGAUAUCAGAUUAGGUAGUUGGUGNGGUAAAGGCUCACCAAGCCGACGAUCUGUAGCUGGUCUGAGAGGACGACCAGCCACACUGGACUGAGACACGGCCCAGACUCCUACGGAGGCAGCAGUGGGGAAUUUUUGGGACAAUGGCGCAAGCCUGAUCCAGCAAUGCCGCGUGCAGGAUGAAGGCCUUCGGUU
Molecule: ribosomal RNA, 391 nt
Filed under: uncultured bacterium
Lineage: Bacteria
Description: bacterial SSU rRNA
Rfam family: Bacterial small subunit ribosomal RNA
Source: RNAcentral